This 391-nucleotide ribosomal RNA is filed under the name uncultured bacterium. RNAcentral's name for it is "bacterial SSU rRNA". It matches the Rfam family "Bacterial small subunit ribosomal RNA", at positions 362 to 770 of the family's 1533-position model. The record is from RNAcentral.
UAUUGCACAAUGGGGGAAACCCUGAUGCAGCGACGCCGCGUGAGUGAAGAAGUAUUUCGGUAUGUAAAGCUCUAUCAGCAGGGAAGAUAAUGACGGUACCUGACUAAGAAGCCCCGGGUAACUACGUGCCAGCAGCCGCGGGAAUACGGAGGGGGCAAGCGUUAGCCGGAUUUACUGGGUGUAAAGGGUGGGUAGGUGGCAGGGCAAGUCAGAUGUGAAAGCCCGGGGCUCAACCCCGGUACUGCAUUUGAAACUGUCCAGCUGGAGUGCAGGAGAGGUAAGCGGAAUUCCUAGUGUAGCGGUGAAAUGCGUAGAUAUUAGGAGGAACACCAGAGGCGAAGGCGGCUUACUGGACUGUAACUGACACUGAGGCACGAAAGCGUGGGGAGCA